AUGUCUGAACAAAAUAUGGCAGAGGAGCAAGGUGAUGACAAUGCAGAGGAGGCUGGGCAGAACAUGGAAGAGGGGCAAGGUGAUGAGCAAUUCAAUGAGGAAGAAAUUGAGCAGUAUAUGGCAGAUGCUGAGGAAGAGGAUGAGGCUGAUGUGGAAGAGGAACAGGAGGAAGAUGUUGUGGAAGAGGAACAUGAUGAAUAUGCACAGUCAGAUGUAGAUGAUGGCAGUCUUUCUCAUGCUGGAAGAGGAGUUAGUGAUUCAGAAAAUGGGGAUGAAAUUGUGGACAGUGAUUAUGCUAUAUCUGAUGGAGAUGUAGAUCUUCUAGAAGAUCAAAUAGAAGAGGUGGUAAUAGAUGUAAAAGGAAAGAAAGCUGCAGAUAUUGGAGCUUCUUCUGAUGAGGAAGAUCUUGAGAUGCCAGAUUCUGAUGAGGAUGAGCUGAAGCACAACUUCAAUACAUUCAGGCCAGAAGAUAUGCAUGAUCCUGUGUUCAAAGUUGGACAGUUAUUCCAGUCACCAGAGAUGUUAAGGAAAGCCAUUAGGGAAUAUUUAAAUUGUUAG
This 558-nucleotide ribosomal RNA is filed under the name Triticum aestivum (bread wheat). RNAcentral's name for it is "partial small subunit ribosomal RNA". The record is from RNAcentral. Lineage: Eukaryota; Viridiplantae; Streptophyta; Magnoliopsida; Poales; Poaceae.